ACAGGAAGACAAGCGACGCAAAAUGAAUCCGUUCUCUGAACCAGAGACAGAACAAGCGGACAACCGACGAGAUAACCAUGCAUCCGGUGAUGGGGGUCCUGCAACAAUAGCGUUAUAGGUGGGCUGCGUUUGGGAAAAACGUAAAACUAGAAGAGCGACGCGAACUCCUCGACUACUUGGACCUUGUCUGCGUCUGUCGCGGAAGCCGGGAUGUCGAGACGACUGCUACAGGAAGGAAGGACUUCUUUAUGGUGGUGGUGAACCUCGGUAACCUCGAAGAGACCCGGCGGGCUUAUUCACAAACGCUUCGCAUUGCAUCCGGACGCUGCCAGCAUAAUAAGAUAUAGGUCAAGUGCGGCUGGUACCAUGUAUGGCUAUACCUGUGGCGAGGAAGGACAAAGAUAUACGUAGGUUAUCGUUGUCGAAUCGAAAGGGUUCAUUCUAUAUCUUCGUCUUACCGCCUCUUUGUCUAUUUCAGUAUACCACCUGUCGUAUAUAAAACUUCUUAAUCUCGCUUAAGAUUAAUACCUACGCACAGAAAAACUCAAUUAAAUUUAUUAGCGUAUCAUAUCUAAACUGUGGAUUUCUAUGCGAAUUCGCAUUUUUACCGAUAUUAAUAAAAAAAGUUCGAUUUGAAUGAAAGCAUGCCUGUAAAUGUUGUAAAAUAGAAUGUAUCGAACACGCACAAACUUUAACACUCAUAAGGAAAUCGUUUCAUUUUAUUAGCUUAAUUCUCUAUUUUAAACGACAAUUUAAGGAUAAUUUAGUAUGAUAAUUUAAUAUUUAGUAUUUGAUGUCUAACAUUUGAGGAAAUCUUCCAAUGUAUUUGAUUCUGUGGUAAAUUUAUUUUACACAAAUAUGAGUCUGUUAAUGGUUCUUGUGUCGAUGUUUAACAAGACCAGAGGUGUAAAACGAUUGAUUUUAAAAUUAUGAAAAAUGUAAUUAAGGGAUAAUUACACAGAAAAUAUUAUCAUAUCAAUAAUUUAUCGUAGUAGGAUUCAGCGUAUUAUUAAGACAUUUAUUGUCUAUCUAAAAUUAUAUGUAUCAAGGUUACAUUUAUAACAAUGAAAACAUACAAAAAUAAAUUUAUUUCAUGACAAUUUAUACGUAUCUGUAGUAAUAGUCAAAUUGAUGCCGAUGAAUCACCGGAAUCUAAUUAAUAGUUCGAGUCAGUUAUGAAUACAUACAUAUGUAAUCGCAGCAAUCAUGUAACUUUUUUUAUACCUACUGUGGCUCAUAAUUAUAUUAUAAUCUAGAAUCAUAAUUGCUAUGAUAAAUUUCUGUAACAACAAAAUAAUUACGCAAUUACGAUAAAAUAUAGAGCAAGUAAUUCUUAAAACAAAUUCUUUUAAUCUUACGUUCGUUUUUUCAAGAAGCAAAAGGAACGGGCCGAGGAUGUGAAUACCAUCGCGAAAAAAGAAAUUGGAUUAAGAUUUACGUAAAAGUAUUUAGAGCUACACUAUAUAACCCUCUUAGGUAUGGCUUCGUAUAUUGCGUAAGUUGUCGGUCCGAACCUUUCAGAGUGUAGAUUGUUCAAGCAGCGCUCAUUCUUUCAGAUCGUUGUUGGUUAGCUCAUAUACAUAUACACGAUAAUGAUUACACGUUCGCUAUCUUUUGUGAGAUUAUAAGACAAGUAUAAUUACGUGUUGUACAACCGUUUGUCACGUUCUAUUAGCGAUGAUAAUAUUCUUUAUUAGAUUUUCAACUAAUAUUCAUCUUGUUUGCUAUUGCGUGUAAUUUUUAUGUAAAAUUAAGUAAUUUACUAAUUGUUUCUAAGUCUUGAUUUAGCACUGGCUUCUGUAAGUUCUCUAUGAUCUUCUAUCAAAAUUACAUGCAGCUUUCCCAUCGUAUUAUUAAUGAAAUUCUGAGAUAUUAUUUUCAAACUUAAUAAAUUGUACAGUAAUUCCUAAUUAUCCAAUUAGAACAUUGGAAUUCUACGAUCAAUCUCAUCCAAAUUCACCGUAUGAGCAGAUGUAUUUAGUAUCCAAUGCGUGCUUCGUGUAUUCAACCCUGAGGGGAUAUUUCAAAAGAGAACCUUUUAAAAGACUAGUAACAUAAGUAGAAUGCAGAGACCCGGCGGGAACAAUAUCUUUAACGACCAAAUAUGCAUAUUACAGUGAAAAUAGUACAGUGUUCUUAUAUAUCGUCAGAUUUCCCUCUACAAGCAUACGCUGGUUCUUCCGUUGUACAAAUACAAUUAUUAUUUAUGUUCUGAUACUUAUAAAUGUUCAAUCACCUAUAUAUAAACAUUUUUACAUCAUUAGGAUACGAUACAUUAAAAUAAGUACAUUUUGUAUCGAUUUAAAAAUGAUCAUAAAAUUAAUAGAUGUAAUUUUACAUACUCCGUGCAUUGAAAUUGAUAAUUAAUCUCUGAAACUUGGUUAUUACUCAUUCUAUAUAAUGAUAGAUGAAAGUAAAACGAUAUUUCCUGGCUGUUUCGAUCAAUCGUACCUGGAAAUAUUCGCCCAGGGAUAUUCGUCAAACGUUCUAUCGCCUAAGGCCACUAUAGAGAAUGAAUGGCAUGAAUAAUAAUAGCCUUAAAGUAUUAUGUCAUAUAUUAUUAUAUGAAAUAACUUCACGUAACAAUAUUAUUACUUGUUACUCUAAAAAUAAAUUAUCAUUGUUGGUAAGAUACAACCACGUUACAGGAAUAUAAUAUAUAUCGGUACACUUCAAAAUGUAAACGAAAACAACAAAUAGGAACUAUGUACAAAAUAAAAUUGCUAAAAUCUCA
Molecule: long non-coding RNA, 2734 nt
Organism: Bombus huntii
Lineage: Eukaryota; Metazoa; Arthropoda; Insecta; Hymenoptera; Apidae
Exons: 2
Source: RefSeq, a predicted model, not a curated record